AGGAACUGAAGCGACGGUGGACCUCAGUCCUCCAUCACAUCUGUGGGGAGCACACAUGGGAGCAAGAUGGAAGAAAGUGGACAUGCCCUCACCCUGCUCUAAACCCAGAUCAGCAAAGGACAAAGCGAUGGCUCCAGCCAGAGUCUCAAGUGUUCAAGUCUUUACGGAAUAUUGUUGAAGAUAAAAGACUUCUGAAAGACCUUGAGCAGAUGACUCGCUUCAAACAUACAGGAUCUUUGGAGGUGUACCACAACGUUAUGCUAAAAUAUCUGCCUAAACGACUGCAUUUUCGGUACGACACCAUGGUAGCCCGAACACAACUAGCCAUCCUGGACAACAAUUACAAUGUCGGCCGACAGCAGACAGAGACUUCUGAAGGACUUCCAAGAUACAGUAUGGUGUUCCCAAAACAGAGCAAGGAAUGGGUAGCCAAGAAGAUCUAUGAGCCUACAAGUCAGUACUUCACGCAACACCUUGUGAAACUCGUGUUGGAGAGAAGGGAGGAAAGAACACCGGAAGACAUACCACAUGUCCAGCGGCCUGCAAACAUUGCCACUAAGGAGAGACCCCCCAAGGAAGAUGUAAUCCAGAAACAUCAAUCCAGAUUCCCUCGCCACACUGAUGCUUGAAAAACCAAGGAUCCAGAUUGUAAAUUUGUUUAUA
Molecule: long non-coding RNA, 663 nt
Organism: Gadus macrocephalus (Pacific cod)
Lineage: Eukaryota; Metazoa; Chordata; Actinopteri; Gadiformes; Gadidae
Exons: 3
Source: RefSeq, a predicted model, not a curated record